Molecule: unclassified non-coding RNA, 332 nt
Filed under: Hevea brasiliensis (rubber tree)
Lineage: Eukaryota; Viridiplantae; Streptophyta; Magnoliopsida; Malpighiales; Euphorbiaceae
Source: RNAcentral
GACAAAGUCACAAGACUUGUCUCAAGAAAUGUGUAGAACAAAAAUAGAAGAAAAUAUUUAUAAUUUAAUGCCCCAACACAAUUUACGACCCAUACACAAUGAUGGUCCAUCUUUAGCACACACCUCCCACAAACAGAGCAAUGGUGGCAACGAGGUGGUUUCAGCUGGUUGCACUUCCGGCAGUACCGGAUUCUUUGAUUGGAUGGAUUGGCCGGCAGGCCAUUGAAAUCUGAGGCAUUUAAUGGGUAAGCCUCACCUCUUUCCUCUUCAACAGCAGGCCUCCAAUUAGAAGGCACACUACCAGGAUCAGUUAAAACAACAGAAAAGUAACU